Molecule: transfer RNA, 73 nt
Filed under: Nicotiana tabacum (common tobacco)
Lineage: Eukaryota; Viridiplantae; Streptophyta; Magnoliopsida; Solanales; Solanaceae
Rfam family: tRNA
About the family: Transfer RNA (tRNA) molecules are approximately 80 nucleotides in length. Their secondary structure includes four short double-helical elements and three loops (D, anti-codon, and T loops).
Source: Rfam by way of RNAcentral
UGGGAUGUAGCUCAAUUGGUAGAGCACUCGCUUUGUAUGUGAGAGGUACGGGGAUUGAAACACUGUAUCUCCA